GAUGAACGCUGGCGGCGUGCCUAAUACAUGCAAGUCGAGCGAACAGACGAGGAGCUUGCUCCUCUGACGUUAGCGGCGGACGGGUGAGUAACACGUGGAUAACCUACCUAUAAGACUGGGAUAACUUCGGGAAACCGGAGCUAAUACCGGAUAAUAUAUUGAACCGCAUGGAUCAAUAGUGAAAGACGGCUUUGCUGUCACUUAUAGAUGGAUCCGCGCCGCAUUAGCUAGUUGGUAAGGUAACGGCUUACCAAGGCAACGAUGCGUAGCCGACCUGAGAGGGUGAUCGGCCACACUGGAACUGAGACACGGUCCAGACUCCUACGGGAGGCAGCAGUAGGGAAUCUUCCGCAAUGGGCGAAAGCCUGACGGAGCAACGCCGCGUGAGUGAUGAAGGUCUUCGGAUCGUAAAACUCUGUUAUUAGGGAAGAACAAAUGUGUAAGUAACUAUGCACGUCUUGACGGUACCUAAUCAGAAAGCCACGGCUAACUACGUG
RNAcentral lists this ribosomal RNA (497 nucleotides) under uncultured bacterium. RNAcentral describes it as "partial 16S ribosomal RNA". It matches the Rfam family "Bacterial small subunit ribosomal RNA", at positions 28 to 507 of the family's 1533-position model. The record is from RNAcentral.